This 497-nucleotide ribosomal RNA is filed under the name uncultured bacterium. RNAcentral's name for it is "partial 16S ribosomal RNA". It matches the Rfam family "Bacterial small subunit ribosomal RNA", at positions 28 to 507 of the family's 1533-position model. The record is from RNAcentral.
GAUGAACGCUGGCGGCGUGCCUAAUACAUGCAAGUCGAGCGAACAGACGAGGAGCUUGCUCCUCUGACGUUAGCGGCGGACGGGUGAGUAACACGUGGAUAACCUACCUAUAAGACUGGGAUAACUUCGGGAAACCGGAGCUAAUACCGGAUAAUCUAUUGAACCGCAUGGUUCAAUAGUGAAAGACGGUUUUGCUGUCACUUAUCGAUGGAUCCGCGCCGCAUUAGCUAGUUGGUAAGGUAACGGCUUACCAAGGCAACGAUGCGUAGCCGAGCUGAGAGGGUGAUCGGCCACACUGGAACUGAGACACGGUCCAGACUCCUACGGGAGGCAGCAGUAGGGAAUCUUCCGCAAUGGGCGAAAGCUUGACGGAGCAACGCCGCGUGAGUGAUGAAGGUCUUCGGAUCGUAAAACUCUGUUAUUAGGGAAGAACAAAUGUGUAAGUAACUAUGCACGUCUUGACGGUACCUAAUCAGAAAGCCACGGCUAACUACGUG